GGAUUGACGUAAUGGUCGUGCCUUAAGGGGUAUGAACUGUUGCUGUUGAUUCCUCCUUCCUGAUGAGCCGUAAUGCCAUUAAUUUGGUGUUGCGGGGAAUUUGGACUGUUACUUUGAAAAAAUUAGAGUGUUUAAAGCAAGCUAACGCUUGAAUACAUUAGCAUGGAAUAAUGAAAUAGGACGUUCGAUCCUAUUUUGUUGGUUUCUAGGAUUGACGUA
This 219-nucleotide ribosomal RNA is filed under the name Campeiostachys nutans. RNAcentral describes it as "Elymus nutans partial small subunit ribosomal RNA". The stretch from base 31 to 219 matches the Rfam family "Eukaryotic small subunit ribosomal RNA", at positions 674 to 864 of the family's 1831-position model. The record is from RNAcentral. Lineage: Eukaryota; Viridiplantae; Streptophyta; Magnoliopsida; Poales; Poaceae.